CCCAGCUUGCUGGGUGGAUCAGUGGCGAACGGGUGAGUAACACGUGAGCAACCUGCCCCCUACUUCGGGAUAAGCCUUGGAAACGGGGUCUAAUACCGGAUAUGAGCAUCUGCCGCAUGGUGGGUGUUGGAAAGUUUUUCGGUGGGGGAUGGGCUCGCGGCCUAUCAGCUUGUUGGUGGGGUAAUGGCCUACCAAGGCGUCGACGGGUAGCCGGCCUGAGAGGGCGACCGGCCACACUGGGACUGAGACACGGCCCAGACUCCUACGGGAGGCAGCAGUGGGGAAUAUUGCACAAUGGGCGAAAGCCUGAUGCAGCGACGCCACGUGAGGGAUGACGGCCUUCGGGUUGUAAACCUCUUUCAGCAGGGAAGAAGCGAAAGUGACGGUACCUGCAGAAGAA
RNAcentral lists this ribosomal RNA (400 nucleotides) under Promicromonospora sp. RNAcentral's name for it is "bacterial SSU rRNA". It matches the Rfam family "Bacterial small subunit ribosomal RNA", at positions 74 to 489 of the family's 1533-position model. The record is from RNAcentral. Lineage: Bacteria; Bacillati; Actinomycetota; Actinomycetes; Micrococcales; Promicromonosporaceae.